RNAcentral lists this ribosomal RNA (253 nucleotides) under uncultured bacterium. RNAcentral's name for it is "partial 16S ribosomal RNA". It matches the Rfam family "Bacterial small subunit ribosomal RNA", at positions 524 to 776 of the family's 1533-position model. The record is from RNAcentral.
UACGUAGGGGGCGAGCGUUGUCCGGAUUUAUUGGGCGUAAAGAGCGUGUAGGCGGCCUGAAAGGUCAGCUGUGAAAACUCGAGGCUCAACCUCGAGACGUCGGUUGAAACCAUCUGGCUAGAGUCCGGAAGAGGAGAGUGGAAUUCCCGGUUUAGCGGUGAAAUGCGCAGAUAUCGGGAAGAACACCCGUGGCGAAGGCGGCUCUCUGGAACGGUACUGACGCUGAGACGCGAAAGCGUGGGGAGCGAACAGG